RNAcentral lists this ribosomal RNA (484 nucleotides) under uncultured bacterium. RNAcentral describes it as "partial 16S ribosomal RNA". It matches the Rfam family "Bacterial small subunit ribosomal RNA", at positions 30 to 507 of the family's 1533-position model. The record is from RNAcentral.
AUUGAACGCUGGCGGCAUGCUUUACACAUGCAAGUCGAACGGCAGCGCGGGCUUCGGCCUGGCGGCGAGUGGCGAACGGGUGAGUAAUACAUCGGAACGUGCCCAGUAGUGGGGGAUAGCUCGGCGAAAGCCGGAUUAAUACCGCAUACGACCUGAGGGUGAAAGCGGGGGAUCUUCGGACCUUGCGCUCUUGGAGCGUCCGAUGGCAGAUUAGCUAGUUGGUGGGGUAAAGGCCUACCAAGGCGACGAUCUGUAGCUGGUCUGAGAGGACGACCAGCCACACUGGGACUGAGACACGGCCCAGACUCCUACGGGAGGCAGCAGUGGGGAAUUUUGGACAAUGGGCGAAAGCCUGAUCCAGCAAUGCCGCGUGUGUGAUGAAGGCCUUCGGGUUGUAAAGCACUUUUGGCGGGAACGAAAAGGACUGUGCCAAUACCACGGUUCGAUGACGGUACCCGAAGAAUAAGCACCGGCUAACUACGUG